AUUAGUCAAAGAGUCUGAGUUUCGGGGCGCCCCCCCAUCGAGUCAUCCGGCCCCCCCUGCGCCCCAGAGGCGGGGGCUCCCCAGAGCAGGGCAGGGGGUCCCCUAGAGGCCAGCACCCCCUGACCCACCAGAGCGGUUUAUGAAUACCCUCAGUGCUCUCUCACCACCAGCUGCAAAGAACCAUCUGUUUUCACACAAUGGCUGCUUCUACACUGGCAAAGCUGGGACCCCCUAUUUUACCCCCACCCUACUACUGCAGUACUGCUGGUGGAACUGAGAUGCAUAGACAGGGCUCAGCUUAGUCUGUACAUUUUUAUCACUAUGCCAUCAGCUACCAUGCUCUAAGCUCCACUGCUACCUCUAACAUCACUACCCCUGGUUGGAGUAUUCCAGAUUCCAUUUUUGCCCAUGUGGACAAGACACAAAAGGAGGACUGGAUUGCACUUUUUACCUGCAAGCAAAAGCAAACUACAUGGAGUAGUGGCCACUCCCAAGUACUUCAGAGGAAAUGAAAAGGGCAAUUCCUGAGUGAUCCAUCUGUCAUCCAGUCCCAGCAUCUGGCAGUCAGAGGCUUUGCAACACCAAGUAUCCAGUUGCAUCCUGGACCACCUUAGCUAAUUGUCACCAAUGGUCACCAAUGGAUCUAUUCUUAAUGAUCUAGAUUUCUUUUGAGCCCCGUGAUCAUUCUGGCAUUCACAACAGUCCCCCAGGAAAAGAGUGCCACAGCUUGACUCUGUGCUGUGUGAAGCAUUUCCUUUUGUUUUAAACCUGCUGCCUGCUAGUUUUGUCAACUGAUUGGAUCAUUGAACUGGAUUAGUUAUUUCUUGGGGGAGGG
Molecule: non-coding RNA, 835 nt
Organism: Pelodiscus sinensis (Chinese soft-shelled turtle)
Lineage: Eukaryota; Metazoa; Chordata; Testudines; Trionychidae
Source: RefSeq, a predicted model, not a curated record